GGAUGGUUGGCCGCUCAGUGGCCACAGCCUUUUCAGCCUCAGUCUCUACUCCUGCUUCGGGAACAGGAUGGCUCCAUUCGCAUGGGAUUAGGUUUUCCAGCUGGUCAAAAUGAUGCUAACAUUGGUUAAACAAAAUUCCUUGGCAUGAGGAGACAUUAGACAGAACUUCAAUUGAUGAACAAGAAAGUAGCCACCUGGUAACUUUAACCAGCUUUUGUUCAUUAAAUGGAGGCCCCAAUAAUCUCCACACCCUUAUGGGACACACCUCAUCUAAAGUUCAUAUGAAUCCAGACAUCUUAUGCUCCAGCCAGAAGAUUCAGGUCAGACCAACACGAAGUCUCCAAUCAAAUGAUAAUUUUUAAACAAAAAUUCAUACUUAAAGCUGUACACCUACCCAAGAUAAAAACCAGAUGUGACUGUGGAGGAGACCGAUAUCUUCCAUUGUGGGCCAUAUCCCAAGACAAAAGGCUAAACUUGGCCCUCAAACCACACAGGGAGACCUUCUCAAUAUGGCUUUUCAUAUUCUCUACAACAGAGAUAAAAAUCAAAAUGAAAAAUAACAAUCUGAUCUUUUAUCAGUGACACUUGGAGCUCUGAGACAGGAGAUCUCAUCACCACUGGAUUCAUCGCUGACUGAUCUACUGGGACUUGAUGCUGAAGAAUGAUGGGGCUUGGUGUCCACAGUCCUCCAUUAAGGUGUCCUCAGAGCCCCAAGUCCCACUAGGAGGUCUCAGUCUAACGGGAGGAUGUUCACCAAUGAUGAAGUUGUCCUAGCUAAAACACCUGGCACCAGCUUCUGCAUGGGCAUCAACCAUCAUCCUAUCAACCUUCCUAAACCCCAAUACAGUGCCCCCUCUCAGCAGGAAAUAGUAAGAGAGAGACUUUGCCCUUUUCCUAACAAUACAAAGAUGGGAAUGAAAGGUUUUUGCCUUAGUAGAAAUUAUGGUGGUGGUCUAACAUGGCAGAAGGCCGAAGUGGGAAUGCCUACCACUUCCUGUUUCUUCCUCAGCCUUAAUUGCAACUCCCCUUCCUGUUUGCAUGCAAAGAAAAUUCCAGUCAGCUUCUCGCAUGUCACCAGUGCCCACCCUAAGUGCAACUCCCGGUCAGAGGUUAUAUAUUAUCCCAUACCCCACGUCCGACCAGAAGAGAUCCAGCCGUCUUUGGUCAUUGGACUCUUCUCCACAUCCUUAGAAUAAAGGCUACUGUUUCUUUAUAUUUUUCUCUUUCUUGGUGCCAAAAACCCUAUCACCUAUGAAGUAAUAUGUCUCAAUCUAUAUAAAUCAAAGAUAAAUUGUUUAAAUAAUACAUGUUUUAUUUUUAGAUUUUUAAAGUGCUUUCUACCAUCUGCUCACUCUAA
This is a long non-coding RNA of Cavia porcellus (domestic guinea pig), 1357 nucleotides long. RefSeq lists it as uncharacterized. The transcript has 6 exons. Lineage: Eukaryota; Metazoa; Chordata; Mammalia; Rodentia; Caviidae. The record is from RefSeq and is a predicted model, not a curated record.